AUGAGAGCCGCCAUGUUGGGGCGAGGGACGGCGGACACCGGCUGGGCUGCCGAGUUUUCUGGCCUGGCCUUUUUUUCCUCUGGCAGAGGGCGGAGGCUGAGGCCCUGGGGGAAGGGCCGGCUGGCAUUCGCGGUGCAAUACUGCCAUCAAGCGGAAAGUCCUCGGCGGAUCCGGGAGCCCAGCGCCGAGCUCUCUCUCCCGCGUGGAGGGGCCCCGGGGGUGACGUGGGAGUGCGGGGGGGGGGGAGACGGACGGGGACGGACGGGAUGGAGCGCCACGGAGGUCCGGGGUCCGGGGUCCGGGGGCCUGGGGGCCUGGCCGGUCGGGCCCGGGAAGCCCCAAGCCACGGCUCGGCUCGGGCCCCUCCCUGGUGGCCACCACGUCUGGGCGGGACUGGAGCGGGGUGACACAGCCACGCGGGCCGGGCCAGGGGGCGCCGGGCCUUUGGCCGCGUGCCCCUUCCCCCGGGAGCUAGAGCAGGAUCCGUGCGGCCUUUGGCCCUUUGGCCGCGUGCCCCCUGCAGCCCCGCCAACGACCCGCACGGGAACCUGGAGGGACCCGCACGGGAACCUGGAGGGCUGCCGCCACUGCUGGUGCGGACGGGGGGGGGGACCCUGCUGUGCCCGUGUCCGGAUCCCGGAUCCCGGGAAGGGGAACGGGUGUGGAGCCGGGCCACCCGGCGUCAAAGGGGGGGCCUUGAGCGUGAGGGGGCCUGGUCCCAGUGCCCCCAUUUCCCUCUUCCCUCAGCCAAGUCGAGGCCAAGCCGCCGCCAUCACUCCCCCUCCACCCCGCGCCCCGGGCCAGCCAGGCCUCUCAGCUCGCCCCGUUCCCCUUUCUGGGCCACCUUCUCCAACGUCCCACCACAGCCCUCAGGGCAAGCACAGUCGAGGAACGGCUGGGUGACUCCCGCCCCUGCAUCCCAAAGCCAACGCCUGCUCCCGAGCUGGUCAUCAAGGGACCAGCGUGGAGCGCGUGCCAGAAGCGCCAGGCGCCUCGGGAUGGGACUGCCAACGGCCCCUUCGGUCCCGGUCCCGCCGGGACGCUGGGACUUCACCCCCGGGCCCGUCCUGCCCUGGAAGCCAGCGGGCGGCGGCUCCGGGGAUCGCCAACGCGUUCCGCUUGAUGGCAGUGUUGCACCGGCAAUGCCCACCGGCCCUUCCCCCAGGGCCUCUCCCUCCGCCCUUUGCCGAAGAAAAAAGGCCAAGCGCUGGCCGCCGGGGCUCCAACAUGGCGGCUCCCGUGCCCGGGCCGCUUUCGCUUUCGGGGAGCGCUCCGGCUUCGGAGGCUUCGGAGGCUUCGGAGGCUUCAUCUGAGGCCCGCUGGAGCGGAGCCCGGCGGAGCCUCGGUGCCCUCGGCCUCCCCUCGGCCGGCUUCGGGGAUCACAACGGUCGGGCGGGGCCCGGCCGGGCCCGCCGUGGGCCUCCCUCGGCGGCGGCCACGGACCCCUGCGAGGCGAGGCGCCAGGCGCCCUCAGGACCCCCGCAGGCCGCCGGGAGCCCUCGGGAGACACACCGGUCUGGUGGUGGACCCGGCCCCGGCCCAGCGAGCGCGCGCCCGAUCCCGGGAUCAGGACUCCCCUCAGGCCAGCCUGACCCCUCAGGCCUCCGGCGGCGGGUCGCAAAGGUCGGCGCCGGCCGUGGGGUCAACAGCGAGGGCCACGUCCCGCGGCCAGGGGCCGGAGGGGUCCCGAGGACCUCGGCCCUUGGCCCGUGACGGCCCCUCCCCGGCCCCAACCGCCACGGGAAUUAAGGCGUGGAUCCGGGCCCACUCGGGUCAGUGUGGAGGGCAGCCCGGAGCCGCGGCACCGACGCCAAAGCGGCCCCGUGGCCCCCCCCCCCCCCCCCGGUGCAGGCGCC
This 1856-nucleotide long non-coding RNA is filed under the name Canis lupus familiaris (dog). RNAcentral describes it as "lncRNA (ENSCAFG00000054431.1)". Lineage: Eukaryota; Metazoa; Chordata; Mammalia; Carnivora; Canidae. The record is from RNAcentral.